This 407-nucleotide ribosomal RNA is filed under the name uncultured bacterium. Its description in RNAcentral is "partial 16S ribosomal RNA". It matches the Rfam family "Bacterial small subunit ribosomal RNA", at positions 30 to 526 of the family's 1533-position model. The record is from RNAcentral.
AUUGAACGCUGGCGGCAGGCCUAACACAUGCAAGUCGAACGGAGUGGCGGACGGGUGAGUAAUGUCUGGGAAACUGCCUGGUAGUGGGGGAUAAAGUUCGGAAACGGACGCUAAUACCGCCUACUAUAAGAUGAGCCUAGGUCGGAUUAGCUAGUGGGUGAGGUAAUGGCUCACCAAGGCUACGAUCCGUAACUGGUCUGAGAGGAUGAUCAGUCACACUGGAACGGAGACACGGUCCAGACUCCUACGGGAGGCAGCAGUGGGGAAUAUUGGACAAUGGGCGAAAGCCUGAUCCAGCCAUGCCGCGUGUGUGAAGAAGGUCUUCGGAUUGUAAAGCACUUUAAGUUGGGAGGCGUUACCGACAGAAUAAGCACCGGCUAACUCUGUGCCAGCAGCCGCGGUAAUAC